UACAGGGGGUGCAAACGUUGCUCGGAAUCAUUGGGCGUAAAGCGCGCGUAGGCGGUUACUUAAGUCGGAUGUGAAAGCCCUUGGCUCAACCAAGGAAGUGCACCCGAAACUGAGUAGCUUGAGUACGGAAGAGGGUCGCGGAAUUCCCGGUGUAGAGGUGAAAUUCGUAGAUAUCGGGAGGAACACCGGUGGCGAAGGCGGCGACCUGGGUCGAUACUGACGCUGAGGCGCGAAAGCGUGGGGAGCAAACAGG
RNAcentral lists this ribosomal RNA (253 nucleotides) under uncultured bacterium. RNAcentral's name for it is "partial 16S ribosomal RNA". It matches the Rfam family "Bacterial small subunit ribosomal RNA", at positions 524 to 776 of the family's 1533-position model. The record is from RNAcentral.